GGGAUGGACCUGUUCGCACUGAAGAUUAAAAAGGGAUGGAAACAAGGCCUGCUUCCAACUGUUGCACUGGAGACUAAAUGAGUUCGUGGACUGUACUAAGAACCUGAAACAAGGCCAGGGAAAGGAGGAUCACUGGGAAGGUCUAUUCUCAUUAAUCCAAGAGGCCAGGCCAAGGGCAUCCCCAAGACCUCAGAGCAUGCCUUGAGAGUGGUUUCUGAGGAUGACAAGGCACAAUGCAUCCGGCAGCCACAGCGGGAGAGCCAAGCGUGUCGGCCAUUAUGCUGCCAUCAAUAGCUGUCGAUGUCACGGCUUUGGAACCUCCUGCCUUAGACACCAGAAUCUCAUGGUGAAUUUCACCCCCAUGAGCGCUGGAGCAUUCAAGAAACAAGGAAAGAAGGUCCUCCUGAAGGGGAAGAUUUUCCUGAAAAGGUGGAUGAAUAUGGCUUGGCAUCCUUCAGCUGACCUACUUUCCCUGGACCAGGCUGACACCUUGCCCCUACUGGAAUCUGGAAUUGAAGAAAGAAGAGGUACACAGGGAAAAUGCCACAUGACAACAAAGGCAGAGCUUAAAGUGACGCAGCCAAGGAUUAUCCGCCAGAAACUGGAAGAGGCAAGGAAGGAUCAGGAUUGUACCAUCCAGGCUUCACAGAAAGGAAGGCCCUAAAGACGCC
Molecule: long non-coding RNA, 671 nt
Filed under: Capra hircus (goat)
Lineage: Eukaryota; Metazoa; Chordata; Mammalia; Artiodactyla; Bovidae
Description: lncRNA (ENSCHIG00000007047.1)
Source: RNAcentral